Molecule: ribosomal RNA, 228 nt
Filed under: Triticum aestivum (bread wheat)
Lineage: Eukaryota; Viridiplantae; Streptophyta; Magnoliopsida; Poales; Poaceae
Description: partial small subunit ribosomal RNA
Source: RNAcentral
AUGGCGGCCACCACGCCUGGCAGAUUAAGAAGGAUGACGGGGUACUCGACCAUGGAGAAUGAGUUACUGUGGGAUGCGUGGUUGGUCAUAUCCGUAGAUUUCGUAGGCAUGAGCAGAGGGAGGAUCUUCUGGCAGCAAGCGCAUGAAUUGUUUCACGCACGAAAGCACACUGCGCCCUACGACAUGCACGUCAUUCCUGAUCGCAAUGUGAAGUCGUUAUCAUAUUGA